RNAcentral lists this ribosomal RNA (569 nucleotides) under Fusarium solani. RNAcentral's name for it is "eukaryotic LSU rRNA". The stretch from base 179 to 341 matches the Rfam family "5.8S ribosomal RNA". The record is from RNAcentral. Lineage: Eukaryota; Fungi; Ascomycota; Sordariomycetes; Hypocreales; Nectriaceae.
AUCUCAUCAUAGNGUGAGCGAUUCUGUCAGCNUAUGACUGUAAGCGAACCUAUCAGCGAUUGCGCUUCGUGACUAGGGCAACAGAUCGUGCCCGUAACACGGGCCGCCCCGCCAGAGGACCCCCUAACUCUGUUUCUAUAAUGUUUCUUCUGAGUAAACAAGCAACAGUACAAGUUAAAACUUUCAACGAACGGAUCUCUUGGCUCUGGCAUCGAUGAAGAACGCAGCGAGAAUGCGAUAAGUAAUGUGAAUUGCAGCAAUUCAUGUGAAUCAUCGGAAUCUUUUGAACGCACAUUGCUGCCCUGCCAGUAUUCUGGCUGGGCAUGCCUGUUCGAGCUGUCGAUUACAACCCUCAGUGCCCCCGGGCCUGGCGUUUGGGGAUCGGCGGAAGCCCCCUGGCGGGGNCACAACGCCGUCCCCGCAAAUACAGUAGGACGGUCCCNGCCGCAGCUUCCAUUGCGUACGUAGCUAACAUCUCGCAACUCGGAUGAGCGGCGCGGGCACGCCGUAAAACACCCAACUUCUCGAAUGUUGACCUCGAAUCAGUAGGAAAUACCCGGGUUCACACU